AAUUUUGAAACUCCGCGGCAGUAACUGCCGAAGUUUUCCUCGGUAGUUAACUGCAAAAGUUUCCU
RNAcentral lists this microRNA precursor (65 nucleotides) under Medicago truncatula (barrel medic). RNAcentral's name for it is "MIR2629 microRNA precursor family". The record is from Rfam by way of RNAcentral. Lineage: Eukaryota; Viridiplantae; Streptophyta; Magnoliopsida; Fabales; Fabaceae.